AUUGAACGCUGGCGGUAUGCUUAACACAUGCAAGUCGAACGGCAGCAUGGUCUAGCUUACUAGACUGAUGGCGAGUGGCGGACGGGUGAGUAACGCGUAGGAAUAUGCCUUGAAGAGUGGGACAACUUGGGGAAACUCAAGCUAAUACCGCAUGUACUCGAGAGAGUAAAGCUGGGGACCUUUAGGCCUGGCGCUUUAAGAUUAGCCUGGGUCCGAUUAGCUAGUUGGUAGGGUAAAGGCCUACCAAGGCGACGAUCGGUAGCUGGUCUGAGAGGAUGAUCAGCCACACUGGAACUGAGAGACGGUCCAGACUCCUACGGGAGGCAGCAGUGGGGAAUAUUGGACGAUGGGGGGAACCCUGAUCCAGCAAUGCCGCGUGUGUGAAGAAGGCCUGAGGGUUGUAAAGCACUUUCAGUGGGGAGGAGGUUUGGAAGGUUAAGAGCUAUUCAAAUGGACGUUACCCACAGAAGAAGCACCGGCUAACUCCGUGCCAGCCGCCGCCGUAA
This 506-nucleotide ribosomal RNA is filed under the name uncultured bacterium. RNAcentral describes it as "partial 16S ribosomal RNA". It matches the Rfam family "Bacterial small subunit ribosomal RNA", at positions 30 to 523 of the family's 1533-position model. The record is from RNAcentral.